RNAcentral lists this ribosomal RNA (865 nucleotides) under Halomonas sp. CASMBAUTRLB8. RNAcentral describes it as "bacterial SSU rRNA". It matches the Rfam family "Bacterial small subunit ribosomal RNA", at positions 60 to 922 of the family's 1533-position model. The record is from RNAcentral. Lineage: Bacteria; Pseudomonadati; Pseudomonadota; Gammaproteobacteria; Oceanospirillales; Halomonadaceae.
AGUCGAGCGGUAACAGAUCCAGCUUGCUGGAUGCUGACGAGCGGCGGACGGGUGAGUAAUGCAUAGGAAUCUGCCCGAUAGUGGGGGAUAACCUGGGGAAACCCAGGCUAAUACCGCAUACGUCCUACGGGAGAAAGGGGGCUUCGGCUCCCGCUAUCGGAUGAGCCUAUGUCGGAUUAGCUAGUUGGUGAGGUAAAGGCUCACCAAGGCAACGAUCCGUAGCUGGUCUGAGAGGAUGAUCAGCCACAUCGGGACUGAGACACGGCCCGAACUCCUACGGGAGGCAGCAGUGGGGAAUAUUGGACAAUGGGGGCAACCCUGAUCCAGCCAUGCCGCGUGUGUGAAGAAGGCCCUCGGGUUGUAAAGCACUUUCAGCGAGGAAGAACGCCUAGCGGUUAAUACCCGCUAGGUAAGACAUCACUCGCAGAAGAAGCACCGGCUAACUCCGUGCCAGCAGCCGCGGUAAUACGGAGGGUGCAAGCGUUAAUCGGAAUUACUGGGCGUAAAGCGCGCGUAGGUGGCUUGAUAAGCCGGUUGUGAAAGCCCCGGGCUCAACCUGGGAACGGCAUCCGGAACUGUCAAGCUAGAGUGCAGGAGAGGAAGGUAGAAUUCCCGGUGUAGCGGUGAAAUGCGUAGAGAUCGGGAGGAAUACCAGUGGCGAAGGCGGCCUUCUGGACUGACACUGACACUGAGGUGCGAAAGCGUGGGUAGCAAACAGGAUUAGAUACCCUGGUAGUCCACGCCGUAAACGAUGUCGACCAGCCGUUGGGUGCCUAGCGCACUUUGUGGCGAAGUUAACGCGAUAAGUCGACCGCCUGGGGAGUACGGCCGCAAGGUUAAAACUCAAAUGAAUUGACGGGGGCCC